RNAcentral lists this ribosomal RNA (618 nucleotides) under uncultured bacterium. RNAcentral's name for it is "bacterial SSU rRNA". It matches the Rfam family "Bacterial small subunit ribosomal RNA", at positions 796 to 1425 of the family's 1533-position model. The record is from RNAcentral.
CACGCCCUAAACGAUGCAUAUUUGGUGUAGGUCAUUCAGUUGAUCUGUGCCGGAGCUAACGCGUUAAAUAUGCCGCCUGGGGAGUACAGUCGCAAGGCUGAAACUCAAAGGAAUUGACGGGGGCCCGCACAAGCGGUGGAGCAUGUGGUUCAAUUCGACGCAACGCGAAGAACCUUACCUGGGCUCGAACGGCUUCCCAACGGCGGUGGAAACACCGCUACUCCGCAAGGGGGUGGAGUCGAGGUGCUGCAUGGCUGUCGUCAGCUCGUGUCGUGAGAUGUUGGGUUAAGUCCCGCAACGAGCGCAACCCUUGUCCUGUGUUGCCAUCCCGCAAGGGGGGACUCGCAGGAGACCGCCAGCGAUAAGCUGGAGGAAGGUGGGGAUGACGUCAAGUCCUCAUGGCCUUUAUGUCCAGGGCUACACACGUGCUACAAUGGCCGGUACAAAGCGCAGCUAAGCCGCGAGGUGGAGCCAAUCGCAAAAAACCGGUCUCAGUUCGGAUUGCAGGCUGCAACUCGCCUGCAUGAAGCUGGAAUCGCUAGUAAUGGCGUAUCAGAACGAUGCCGUGAAUACGUUCCCGGGCCUUGUACUCACCGCCGUCGGACAGGUCCGUCGAAA